This 391-nucleotide unclassified non-coding RNA is filed under the name soil metagenome. RNAcentral describes it as "partial contains 5.8S ribosomal RNA, internal transcribed spacer 2, and large subunit ribosomal RNA". The stretch from base 1 to 122 matches the Rfam family "5.8S ribosomal RNA", at positions 35 to 154 of the family's 154-position model. The record is from RNAcentral.
GAUGAAGAACGCAGCGAAAUGCGAUACUUGGUGUGAAUUGCAGAAUCCCGUGAACCAUCGAGUCUUUGAACGCAAGUUGCGCCCGAAGCCAUUAGGCCGAGGGCACGCCUGCCUGGGCGUCACACGUCGUUGCCCCCCCAUCUACUCCUUCGGGAUUGCGGGGGGCGGAUGAUGGCCUCCCGUGCGCCUCGUCGCGCAGUUGGCAUAAAUGCCAAGUCCUCGGCGACACACGCCACGACAAUCGGUGGUUGCGAAACCUCGGUUGCCCGUCGUGUGCGGUCGUCGCGCAUCGAGGGCUCGAAAAAAUUGCCGGGCUCCGGCUCGGCUUUCAACGCGACCCCAGGUCAGGCGGGGUUACCCGCUGAAUUUAAGCAUAUCAAUAAGCGGAGGA